UGAAAUUGAUCUCCCCGUGCAGAAGCGGGGAUAAUACCAUAAGACGAGAAGACCCUAUGGAGCUUUAGACGUCAGAGCAGCCCAUGUAAAGCACCCCUUAACAAAGGAAAAAACCAAAUGAAGCCUGCCCUAAUGUCUUUGGUUGGGGCGACCGCGGGGAAAUACAAAACCCCCAUGUGGAGUAGGAAUACACAUUCCUAAACCCAAGAGCUCCCGCUCUAAUGAACAGAAAUUCUGACCAAUAAGAUCCGGCACACGCCGAUCAACGGACCGAGUUACCCUAGGGAUAACAGCGCAAUCCCCUUAAAGAGCCCUUAUCGACAAGGGGGUUUACGACCUCGAUGUUGGAUCAGGACAUCCUAAUGGUGCAGCCGCUAUUAAGGGUUCGUUUGUUCAACG
RNAcentral lists this ribosomal RNA (399 nucleotides) under Pagrus major (red seabream). RNAcentral describes it as "partial 16S ribosomal RNA". It matches the Rfam family "Bacterial large subunit ribosomal RNA", at positions 2037 to 2586 of the family's 2925-position model. The record is from RNAcentral. Lineage: Eukaryota; Metazoa; Chordata; Actinopteri; Spariformes; Sparidae.